UGCCAGCCGCCGCGGUAAUACGUAGGGGGCAAGCGUUGCUCGGAAUUACUGGGCGUAAAGGGUCCGUAGGCGGUGGGGCAUGUCGGUUGUGAAAUCUCCCGGCUUAACUGGGAGGGUGCGACCGAAACUGCUCCGCUGGAGGGCCGGAGGGGCGAGUGGAAUUGCUGGUGCAGCGGUGAAAUGCGUAGAGAUCAGCAGGAACACCGGAGGCGAAGGCGGCUCACUGGACGGCACCUGACGCUGAGGGACGAAAGCUAGGGGAGCAAACAGGAUUAGAUA
This 279-nucleotide ribosomal RNA is filed under the name uncultured bacterium. RNAcentral's name for it is "partial 16S ribosomal RNA". It matches the Rfam family "Bacterial small subunit ribosomal RNA", at positions 506 to 784 of the family's 1533-position model. The record is from RNAcentral.